This 1393-nucleotide long non-coding RNA is filed under the name Salmo salar (Atlantic salmon). RNAcentral describes it as "lncRNA (ENSSSAG00000108218.1)". The record is from RNAcentral. Lineage: Eukaryota; Metazoa; Chordata; Actinopteri; Salmoniformes; Salmonidae.
UACCUAUAUAACUACCUACUAUAUAACUACCUACUAUAUAACUACCUACUAUAUAACUACCUACUAUAUAACUACCUAUAUAACUACCUACUCGGUCACACGGAACACACAGUCCUGUUUUCUUAUUCUAGUUAUUAGGAGAGUGUUAUAGUUCAUGUUUGAUUUUAUUUAUUUUUCAUGCAUUUACAUGCACGCUAGUAGUCCAUGAGCCAGGGGGCCUGUCGGGCUCACCUGGGCAGAGGGUUAUAGACUGGUUAUAGACUGGUUAUAGACUGGUUAUAGACUGGGUUAUAGACUGGGUUAUAGACUGGUUAUAGACUGGUUAUAGACUGGUUAUAGACUGGUUAUAGACUGGUUAUAGACUGGGUUAUAGACAGGGUUAUAGACAGGGUUAUAGACAGGGUUAUAGAGGGUUUAGGCUAGGGAUAGGAUACAGGGUUAUAGGCAGGGUUAUAGACAGGGUUAUAGACAGGGUUAUAGAGGGUUUAGGCUAGGAAUAGGAUACAGGGUUAUAGACAGGGUUAUAGACAGGGUUAUAGACAGGGUUAUAGAGGGUUUAGGCUAGGGAUAGGAUACAGGGUUAUAGACAGGGUUAUAGACCAGGGUUAUAGACAGGGUUAUAGAGGGUUUAGGCUAGGGAUAGGAUACAGGGUUAUAGACAGGGUUAUAGACAGAGUUAUAGACAGGGUUAUAGGCAGGGUUAUCGAGGUUAUAGACAGAAUUAUAGACAGGGUUAUAGGGGUUUUAGGCUAGGGAUAGGAUACAGGGUUAUAGACAGGGUUAUAGACAGGGUUAUAGAGGGUUUAGGCUAGGGAUAGGAUACAGGGUUAUAGACAGGGUUAUAGACAGAGUUAUAGACAGGGUUAUAGGGGGUUUAGGCUAGGGCUAGGAUACAGGGUUAUAGACAGGGUUAUAGACAGGGUUAUAGACAGGAUUAUAGACAGGGUUAUAGACAGGGUUAUAGACAGGGUUAUAUGCAGGGUUAUAUGCAGGGUUAUAUGCAGGGUUAUAGAGGUUCUAGGCAGGGUUAUAGAGGUUCUAGGCUAGGGACAGGAUAUAUGUUAUAGACAGGGUUAUAUGCAGGGUUAUUAUAGACAGGGUUAUAGUAGAGGUAUACUCAGUAGCAAGCUGACCCAGCUAAUUAGUUAGGUAGUGUAUACCCAGUAGCCAGUAGUUAGCUGACCUAGCUUAUUAGUUAGGUAGUGUAUACCCAGUAGUUAGCUGACCUAGCUAAUUAGUUAGGUAGUGUAUACCCAGUAGUUAGCUGACCUAGCUAAUUAGUUAGGUAGUGUAUACCCAGUAGUUAGCUGACCUAGCUAAUUAGUUAGGUAGUGUAUACCCAGUAGUUAGCUGACCUAGCUAAUUAGUUAGGUAGUGUAUACCCAGUAGCCAG